Molecule: ribosomal RNA, 497 nt
Filed under: uncultured bacterium
Lineage: Bacteria
Description: partial 16S ribosomal RNA
Rfam family: Bacterial small subunit ribosomal RNA
Source: RNAcentral
GAUGAACGCUGGCGGCGUGCCUAAUACAUGCAAGUCGAGCGAACGGACGAGAAGCUUGCUCCUUUGAUGUUAGCGGCGGACGGGCGAGUAAGGCGUGGAUAACCAACUUAUAUUUCUGGGAGAAUAUCGGGAAAACGGAGCUAAUACUGGAUAAUACUUUGAACCGCAUGGAUCAAAAGUGAAAGACGGUCUUGCCGUUUCUUUUAGAUGGAUCCGGGCUGUAUUAGCUAGUUGGUAAGGUAACGGCUUACCAAGGCAACGAUGCAUAGCCGAGCUGAGAGGGUGAUCAGCCACACUGGAACUGAGACACGGUCCAGACUCCUACGGGAGGCAGCAGUAGGGAAUCUUCCGCAAUGGGCGCAAGCCUGACGGAGCCACGCCGCGUGAGUGAUGAAGGUCUUCGGGUCGUAAAGCUCUGUUGUUAGGGAAGAACAUAUGUGUAAGUAACUGUGCACAUCUUGACGGUACCUAAUCAGAAAGCCACGGCUAACUACGUG